RNAcentral lists this long non-coding RNA (687 nucleotides) under Salmo salar (Atlantic salmon). Its description in RNAcentral is "lncRNA (ENSSSAG00000095423.1)". Lineage: Eukaryota; Metazoa; Chordata; Actinopteri; Salmoniformes; Salmonidae. The record is from RNAcentral.
CGCAUUAGUUUCGCUUCCCCACCCGCCAUUUCUAAAAAGACCCGAAGGAGCUCAUUGCCUUCUUGAAUUAUGCAGAAACGGGCAGCGUGGAGGUCAUGUCAUUCAUUUUGUUGGAAAGGGGAGAAAUUGUGCUUUACAAUGGUAUUGACAUUACAGUUGAUCUGGAAGUAUUAUGUUUUUGGGGCACUAAAAUAAGGUCAAUUGCAUGUACAAAAGUGAGUGAAUUUACAUUACAUUAUAUCAUCAUCAAUUCUCAAUCAGAUGAGAUACACAGCUAACCCAUAUUGAAUUUCAUUCAUUCAUAAAUGUGGACACUAAUUAUUGUUAAUAUUCCAAUUCUCUUGGCCCUCCAUUCCCAAACCGGAAGCCCCUUGUCCUCAGCAGGAAAGACCAGGAAAAAGUGUUGGCUUAAGGUACAACUUCCUAUUGAGGAAAUAUCUGCCACCCCCAGCAGUUCAGCUGUAGUCACAGCAGUCCUCUGCUGUGGUAUUUGAUUUACCAGCUGCACCAGUUCCUACUACACUGGCCAUGAAGGGAGAUGCUUUUGAUGAUUCCCAGAUGGAUACAGAUCUGCCAUGCACUCCACCGCUGCCUGACAACCUCACCCAGAAGUACAUACACUGGGCCUAUCAAGACUGACAAAGCAGAAAUGGGUGGCUGACAAGGAAAAAUAAAACAUGUACCUAC